UACGUAGGGGGCGAGCGUUGUCCGGAUUUACUGGGCGUAAAGGGCGCGUAGGCGGUGUGUUAAGUGUGAGGUGAAAUCUCCAGGGCUCAACCCGGAAACUGCUUCGCAUACUGGCACACUAGAGGGAUGCAGAGGUUGAUAGAAUUCCUGGUGUAGCGGUGGCAUGCGUUGAUAUCAGGAGGAAUACCAAUGGCGAAGGCAGUCAACUGGGCAUUUCCUGACGCUGAGGCGCGAAAGCGUGGGUAGCAAACAGA
This 254-nucleotide ribosomal RNA is filed under the name uncultured bacterium. Its description in RNAcentral is "partial 16S ribosomal RNA". It matches the Rfam family "Bacterial small subunit ribosomal RNA", at positions 524 to 776 of the family's 1533-position model. The record is from RNAcentral.